AUUCUCAGCUUUCACCCCGGACU
This 23-nucleotide non-coding RNA is filed under the name Arabidopsis thaliana (thale cress). The record is from RNAcentral. Lineage: Eukaryota; Viridiplantae; Streptophyta; Magnoliopsida; Brassicales; Brassicaceae.